This 497-nucleotide ribosomal RNA is filed under the name uncultured bacterium. RNAcentral describes it as "partial 16S ribosomal RNA". It matches the Rfam family "Bacterial small subunit ribosomal RNA", at positions 28 to 507 of the family's 1533-position model. The record is from RNAcentral.
GAUGAACGCUGGCGGCGUGCCUAAUACAUGCAAGUCGAGCGAACAGACGAGGAGCUUGCUCCUCUGACGUUAGCGGCGGACGGGUGAGUAACACGUGGAUAACCUACCUAUAAGACUGGGAUAACUUCGGGAAACCGGAGCUAAUACCGGAUAAUAUAUUGAACCGCAAGGUUCAAUAGUGCAAGACGGCUUUGCUGUCACUUAUAGAUGGAUCCGCGCCGCAUUAGCUAGUUGGUAAGGUAACGGCUUACCAAGGCAACGAUGCGUAGCCGACCUGAGAGGGUGAUCGGCCACACUGGAACUGAGACACGGUCCAGACGCCUACGGGAGGCAGCAGUAGGGAAUCUUCCGCAAUGGGCGAAAGCCUGACGGAGCAACGCCGCGUGAGUGAUGAAGGUCUUCGGAUCGUAAAACUCUGUUAUUAGGGAAGAACAAAUGUGUAAGUAACUAUGCACGUCUUGACGGUACCUAAUCAGAAAGCCACGGCUAACUACGUG